Molecule: ribosomal RNA, 139 nt
Filed under: uncultured bacterium
Lineage: Bacteria
Description: partial 16S ribosomal RNA
Rfam family: Bacterial small subunit ribosomal RNA
Source: RNAcentral
UGGGGAAUAUUGCACAAUGGGGGAAACCCUGAUGCAGCGACGCCGCGUGAGCGAAGAAGUAUUUCGGUAUGUAAAGCUCUAUCAGCAGGGAAGAAAAAAUGAGGGUACCUGACUAAGAAGCACCGGCUAAAUACGUGCC